Molecule: ribosomal RNA, 468 nt
Filed under: uncultured bacterium
Lineage: Bacteria
Description: partial 16S ribosomal RNA
Rfam family: Bacterial small subunit ribosomal RNA
Source: RNAcentral
GACGAACGCUGGCGGCGUGCUUAACACAUGCAAGUCGAACGGAAAGGCCCUGCUUUUGUGGGGUGCUCGCGUGGCGCACGGGUGUGUAACCCGUGAGUAACCUGCCCUUGACUUUGGGAUAACUUCAGGAAACUGGGGCUAAUACCGGCUAGGUGCGCCUGCUGCUGGGUGGGGUUUGGAACGUUCCGGCGGUUGGGGAUGGAGUGGCGGGUUAUCAGCUUGUUGGUGGGGGAGUUGCUUACCAAGGCUUCGACGGGUAGCCGGCCUGAGAGGGUGACCGGCCACCUGGCGACUGCGGGACGGACCAGUGUCGAACGGGAGACAGCGGGCGGAAGUAUGGCACAAUGGGGGGGAGCCUGAUACAGCAACGCCGGGAGCGGGAUGACGGCCUUCGGGUUGGAAACCGCUUUCGCCUGUGACGAAGCGUUAGUGACGGUAAUGGGUAAAGAAGCACCGGCUAACUACGUG